CCUACGGGGGGCAGCAGUGGGGAAUAUUGCACAAUGGGGGAAACCCUGAUGCAGCGACGCCGCGUGAGCGAUGAAGUAUUUCGGUAUGUAAAGCUCUAUCAGCAGGGAAGAAAAUGACGGUACCUGACUAAGAAGCCCCGGCUAACUACGUGCCAGCAGCCGCGGUGAUACGUAGGGGGCAAGCUCUAUCCGGAUUUACUGGGUGAAAAGGGAGCGUAGACGGCGGUGCAAGCCAGAUGUGAAAGCCCGGGGUUCAACCCCGGGACUGCAUUUGGAACUGUGCUGCUAGAGUGUCGUAGAGGCAGGCGGAAUUCCUAGUGUAGCGGUGAAAUGCGUAGAUAUUAGGAGGAACACCAGUGGCGAAGGCGGCCUGCUGGACGAUGACUGACGUUGAGGCUCGAAAGCGUGGGGAGCAAACAGGAUUAGAUACCCGAGUAGUC
This 440-nucleotide ribosomal RNA is filed under the name uncultured bacterium. RNAcentral describes it as "partial 16S ribosomal RNA". It matches the Rfam family "Bacterial small subunit ribosomal RNA", at positions 338 to 795 of the family's 1533-position model. The record is from RNAcentral.